RNAcentral lists this ribosomal RNA (429 nucleotides) under Gemmatimonadota bacterium. RNAcentral describes it as "Gemmatimonadetes bacterium partial 16S ribosomal RNA". It matches the Rfam family "Bacterial small subunit ribosomal RNA", at positions 355 to 776 of the family's 1533-position model. The record is from RNAcentral. Lineage: Bacteria; Pseudomonadati; Gemmatimonadota.
UAGGGAAUCUUCGGCAAUGGACGAAAGUCUGACCGAGCAACGCCGCGUGAGUGAAGAAGGUUUUCGGAUCGUAAAACUCUGUUGUUAGAGAAGAACAAGGACGUUAGUAACUGAACGUCCCCUGACGGUAUCUAACCAGAAAGCCACGGCUAACUACGUGCCAGCAGCCGCGGUAAUACGUAGGUGGCAAGCGUUGUCCGGGUUUAUUGGGCGUAAAGCGAGCGCAGGCGGUUUCUUAAGUCUGAUGUGAAAGCCCCCGGCUCAACCGGGGAGGGUCAUUGGAAACUGGGAGACUUGAGUGCAGAAGAGGAGAGUGGAAUUCCAUGUGUAGCGGUGAAAUGCGUAGAUAUAUGGAGGAACACCAGUGGCGAAGGCGGCUCUCUGGUCUGUAACUGACGCUGAGGCUCGAAAGCGUGGGGAGCAAACAGG